AACGAACGCUGGCGGCAUGCCUAACACAUGCAAGUCGAACGAGACCUUCGGGUCUAGUGGCGCACGGGUGCGUAACGCGUGGGAACCUGCCCUUAGGUUCGGAAUAACUCCCCGAAAGGGGUGCUAAUACCGGAUAAUGUCUUCGGACCAAAGAUUUAUCGCCUUUGGAUGGGCCGCGUUGGAUUAGCUAGUUGGUAGGGUAAAAGCCUACCAAGGCGACGAUCCAUAGCUGGUCUGAGAGGAUGAUCAGCCACACUGGGACUGAGACACGGCCCAGACUCCUACGGGAGGCAGCAGUGGGGAAUAUUGGACAAUGGGCGAAAGCCUGAUCCAGCAAUGCCGCGUGAGUGAUGAAGGCCUUAGGGUUGUAAAGCUCUUUUACCCGGGAUGAUAAUGACGGUACCGGGAGAAUAAGCUCCGGCUAACUCCGUG
Molecule: ribosomal RNA, 432 nt
Filed under: uncultured bacterium
Lineage: Bacteria
Description: partial 16S ribosomal RNA
Rfam family: Bacterial small subunit ribosomal RNA
Source: RNAcentral